AGUAAUAAAACUACAUAGAAAAGCAAACUUUACAUAGAAAAUGUAAAUUUGCACAAAUAUUGUUGUAAAUUGGAGAGAAUUUUGAUUAAAAAAAAAUAAUAAUACUCCGUAUUAAUGAUACUUGAAAAAAGAGCAAAUAGGACUAUUAUUUUGGAGUUCAUAUAAAAGUUGGGUACUCAACUUUGGGCUUUGUUGCAAAUUAGGUACUCAACUUUCAAUAUUGACAAAUUAGGUACUAUGACCUGCCUAAAUCUUCUUUUCCGGCAAGUAACCUACACUACCAGGUUACCAGGCCAUAUUGCAUUCUAUUAAAUAAAAAAAAAAACUAAACUAACUUAACCUUUUUCUCUCUCCUCCUUUUCUCUAUUCCUCCAUUAACAAACCUCCAUUUAUUUUUCAAUUUUGCAGUAAUAUUUUUAACAUUUCUACUUUUGCUCUUUGCACUUUAUUAUUGGUGCAAUUCGAAUUUUUUUUUUUUUUAAUAUUUAAUUUUGGAAAUUUUCGAGAAUUUUUUGCUGAUGAUCGAAUUACAACUGGCACAAUUUUUGGUGGAGCGAAUGAGUAGCCGUUUUGCACGGGUUGUGGCGUGCCGCGUGUCAUGCUUGGCCAUGCCAUGUGUCUUGCUCGCGAGCCAAAGUGUCGUGCCGUCCGCGGGUUCUUGUUGUGUCUGUGCCGAAUUUUUGAAAUCGUGUUCAUGAUACGGCCCACGACCCACUCCUUGAUCACCAUGCCGUGCCGUGCCAUUUUUGUGCUACGCCAGUGCUGCCCACGGGCCGACCCGGCCCAUACCCAUCUGUUUCUGCAGGAAUCCGAUAACCCGAAUCCAAGAUCCGAAGCUCGAAUAUAUGACCCGUUCUGCUCCUAUCGGCCAAGUAAGAACCUGCACAAAGAGAAGAGAUGAGCUAGCCCCGGGGUGAAUCCGGGGAUAACCACUCCAAAGAUUAAGUCAGCAAGUGUUUAUAGAAGAAAGAUGAUUUAUAGAGAGAAAGUAAUGAGAGAGAGAGAGAGUAGUGAGAGAAAGAGUGUAAUUAAUGAUCUCUCUCUUAUGAAGUAAAACCAGAUUAUUUAUAGGUUUACUAA
Chenopodium quinoa (quinoa) is the source of this 1080-nucleotide long non-coding RNA. RefSeq lists it as uncharacterized. The transcript is spliced from 2 exons. Lineage: Eukaryota; Viridiplantae; Streptophyta; Magnoliopsida; Caryophyllales; Amaranthaceae. The record is from RefSeq and is a predicted model, not a curated record.